GCCCCAGAAUUGGUACGCAUGGGUAAAGCAUCCCCACUUACAGAUGUGUUUGCCUUUGGCACAUUCCUUCUUGAAGUGACAUGUGGGCAUAGGCCUGUAAAGCAAAAUGAGCUAGGUGAGCAUAUUAUGUUGGUUGAUUGGGUACUUGACCAUUGGCAGAAAGGAUCAUUGGUGGAGACAAUAGACAAGAGGCUAGAAGGUAACUGCAACAUAGAUGAGGCGUGCCUGGUUUUAAAACUUGGGCUCUUGUGCUCACAACCAUUCGCUAGUGCAAGGCCUAGUAUGCAUCUUGUAAUUCAAUACCUUAAUGGUGGCAUGCAGUUGCCAGAGUUCACACCAUCAGAUAUAAGCAUCAACAUGCUAGCCUUUAUGGAAAAUAGGGGAUUCAAUCCUUCCUUGAUUUCAUACCCACAGCUGACAAUGAGUGUUGGCACAAUGUCAAGCCUCUCAGGUGGAAGGUAAAAAUGAUUUGAGGUCAUUAAUCAGAGCAAUAGCAGGUUUCUUUUGUAUAUUACACGGGGUGAUAUCUAUUAUUGCAUAUUUCAGAAUUAAAAUUUUUAGGGUGUAUUUGAUUUGAGCAACCACCUCAUGCUACAUGACCUGUUGCAUCAUGAAUUCAUUACAGGGGUGUUUGGUUUGAAGAAUGAGUUAGUCUAUCAUCUAUUCAUUUCUCACUUUUUUGUUUGGUUUAUGGUACAGUGUUUUCAAGUCGUCUGACUAUUUGUGAUUAGUCAGUCUAAUCGGUACUCGGUAGGUAUCAACCGACCAGCCCCACCGAUGCGACUAGGCCGACCAAAAUAUUAGUAUUAGACAUGGGAUGACCAGUUUAGAGUUUAAACAUGACUGUAGAUGGGCUUUUGAAGCAGGGGAACUUGUAGGCUGCAAUUUGCUUUGUGGGCAUCUAGGGUUGAGAACGCUCAGGCAAGAACUCCAGUCCCAAUCUGCACAGGCGCACAGCCGCCCUCCAGCCUAUAGUCAGCACAGCAGCCCUCCAGUCGGUAGCUAUACGAUUAGGUUCAACUAGACGACUUGAAAACAUUGUUAUAAUGUUAUGUAUAAUAUGAUGAUGCACCAUCACCUCAAGUCAAUAAUUAAUACUAGUACAAGGAAUGAAGUCAUUCCAUCAUAAUUGAGGAAUUAACUCAUGAUGCACCUCAUAUAGGACCAUGCAUAUAUUAGUUAUUAGCUUCGAAGGAAUAAGGUGGUGAUGGAUCAACUCAUUCCAUCUUACAAACCAAACAAAAAAGUGAGGCGUGAGAAAAUGACAUACCACAGCAUUCCUUAAUCAAACACACCACAUGCUGCACUUGCAUAGCAGCGUGUGAUUAUGUAUCUAGAUGCUAUAUUCACUUAUUCAGUAUUCAAAUGGUCGAACCAAAGUACGCACACGGGGAACUGCUACCAUUAUCUUGUAAUAAAAUUAUGAUCAAACUAUAUCUUUUUAUUUGGUCAAUUUCCUUUACAAUACUGACUUAGACGCCCUAGUGCCUAAACCACACACGCAUCCAUAAGGUUCAGCAAUCACACGCAGAACCUCAACCAACUUGGGUACGGUUGUCUGAAAUCAGAAAGAUUGCAUCUUGAAAGAAACGGAAGCGUACCAAUUGUGGUUGAGCAGAGGACAUCAGGUAAGCAUCAUCGCUUCCUGGCUACCAACGAAAGCGUGCCCAUUGGCCAUCACGUGCACCACCGGCAGGACUACUGGUAGGCCGACGGCCGCCGCGCAAACUGCACCCUUGUUUAGAGACGCCGAGCCGCCGAGGGUGAGCCGCCGCAGGAGCAGAGAACGCGGCGGGCGGAAUGGGCGGAUCAGGGGCGGAGCCAGGAUUAC
This 1831-nucleotide long non-coding RNA is filed under the name Zea mays. Its description in RNAcentral is "long non-coding RNA (ZMAY_LNC005322)". Lineage: Eukaryota; Viridiplantae; Streptophyta; Magnoliopsida; Poales; Poaceae. The record is from RNAcentral.